GCUGGAUGUUGUAGCAUGUGCCUGUGGUCCCAGCUUCUUGGGAGGCUGAGGCAGGAGAAUCACUUGAACCCAGGAGUUUGGGGCCAACCUGGGCAACACAGGGAGACAAUGUCUCUU
RNAcentral lists this small RNA (117 nucleotides) under Marmota monax (woodchuck). Lineage: Eukaryota; Metazoa; Chordata; Mammalia; Rodentia; Sciuridae. The record is from RNAcentral.